Long non-coding RNA from Gallus gallus (chicken), 5429 nucleotides. Lineage: Eukaryota; Metazoa; Chordata; Aves; Galliformes; Phasianidae. The record is from Ensembl.
AACAGCCUGAGCCUCUUUAGAAAUUCAUAUUGCGCUCAGGUUAGAGUCCCUCAAAUAGUUAAGUUCAUGGUUUUUUGCCAGAAUUGACUUAUUUUUCUAUUGACUUAUUUUAUUUUUUGUUUUUAUUAAUAUUUUUAUUUUUAUUAAUCAUUAAUUUUAUUCACUAUUACUCUUUUUGAAUUUUUAUUUAAAUACUAUUUGUAUUUAUUUUGAACUGUCAUGGCAGUAUGAUGAAGUCCCUGGUGACUGGAGAAAGGUAACAUCACAUCCAUUUUCAGAAAGGGUUAAAAAGAUGGCUCCAUGAACUCCCAACCUGUCAGUCUCACUUCUGUGACGAGGAAGAUGAUGGAGCAAAUCCUCCUGGAUGGUAUGCUUAGUCACAUGGAAGGCAGGGAGGUGAUAAGGGAGAACCAGCAUGGCCUCGCCAGGGGCAAAUCCCGCUUGAUCAACCUGGUGGCCUUUUAUGACGGUGUCAUUGCAUCAAUGGACAAGGCAAGAGCCUGCAGUGUCCUCUAUCUGGACGUCAGUAAGGCAUCUGAUGUGGUAGCCCACAGCACCCUUCUCUCCAAAUUGGAAAGAUAUGGUUUUGAUGGGUGGACUUUUUGAUGGAUGAAGAAUUGGCUACAGGAUCGAGUCCAGAGAGUGGUGGUCAAUGGCUCCAUGUGCGGAUGGAGAUCGGUGAUGAGUGGUGUUCCCCAGGGAUUGGAGCUAGGGCCAAUAAUCUCCAGUAUCUUCAUCAAGGAUAUUGACAGUGGGGUUGAGUGCACCCCCAGCAAGUUUGUGGAUGACACUAAGCUGUGGGGUGUGGCUGACACACCGGAGGCAUGGGAUAACAUCCGGAGGGACCUAGACAGGCUUGAGCAGUGGGGCCAGGAGAACUUUAUGAGGUUCAGCAAAUCCAAGUGCAAGAGCUUGCACCUGGGUAGAGGCAACCCCCAUUACCAGUACAAGCUGGGGGAUGAAAGGGUUGAGCACAGCUCUGCUGCAAAAGACCUGGGGGUACUGGUGGAUGGGAAGCUGGACGUGAGGCAGCAAUGUGCCCUCGCAGCCCGGAAGGACAACCGUAUGCUGGGGUGCGUCAAAAGAUGUGUGGCCAGAAGGUCGAGGGAGGUGAUCCUGGCCCUCUACUCUGCGCUGCUGAGGCCUCACCCGGAGUACUGUGUCCAGAUGUGGAGUCCUCAUUACAGGAGAGACACGGACCUGUUGGAGUGCAUCCAGAAAAGGGUGACAAAAAUGAUCCAGGGGAUGGAACACCUCUCCUACGAGGACAGGCUGAUAGAGCUGGGGCUGUUCAGCCUGGAGAAGAAAAGGCUGUGAGGUGACCUGGUAGCAGCCUUUCAGAGUCCAAAGGGGAGCUACAGGAAGGAAGGGUUUGGGCUCCUUGCUGGGAGAGCAACGCAAAGUCCGUGGUGAUAGAACAAGGGCAAAUGGUUUCAAGUUCAAAGAGGGUAGACGUAGGUUAGACGCAAGGAAGAACUCUUUGACAGUGAGGGUGGUGAGGCACUGGAAGAGGUUGCCCGCCAAUGUGGCUGACACCUCAUCCCUGGAGACUUUCAGGCUGAGGCUGGUAAGGCCCUGGCCAACUUGAUCUAGCUGUGGGUGUCCCUGUUCAUUGCAGAGGAGCUGGACAAGAAAGCCUUCAGAGGUCCCUUCCAACACCAAGGAUUCUGUGAUUCUACGAAGUUUUCCGUGUGGAUAAUGGUCUUGCAAACAGCCUUUCUCGAGCCAGUGAGAAGGAUCUGCCUCACCAUGUCCACUUCAUCUUUCCAGUGGUGUAGCUGUUCAGACUCAAGACUUCUCAAGCAGUGGUCCCCAGGGAGCCAGUACUGGGGCCAGUCUUGUUUAUUGGUGAACUGGAUGAUGAGAUUGCGCGCACCCUUGGGAAGUCUGCAGGUGACAGAUGCAGAUCAAAGGGCUGAGGCCAGUUGUAGGAGGCUCAGCAAGACUAAGUGCCAGGUCCUGCACUAGAGGCACAACAAGCCCAUGCAGAGCUACAAGCUUGGGGCAGAGUGGGUGGCGUACGUGGCGGAGAAAGAUCAGGGGGUGUUAGUCUACAGCCAUCCGAACAUGUGCCAGCAAUGUGCCCAGAUAGCCAAGAAAGCCAAAGGCAUCCUGCUUUCUAUCGGUAACAGUGUCGUCAGCAGGCCCAAGGAAGGGAUUGUUCCUCUGCACUUGGCAACAGUAAGGCUGCACCUGGAGUACCAUGUUCAAGCAUGGGACCUUCACUACCAGAAAGACACGGAGAUGCAGGAGCAUCCAGAGCAAGGCAGUGAGGCUGGUGAAGGGUCUGGAGCACCAGCGUCACUUUUAUAGGGAGCGGCGGAGAGAACUGGGAUGUUUGGUCUGCAGGAGGCUCAGUGGAGACGUUAUCGCUCUCUACCAGGACCUGAGGGAAGGCUGUGGCAAGGUGGCGGUUGGCCUCUUCUCCCAGGUAACGGCAACAAGACGAGAAGGAACAGCUUUAAGCUGCACCAAGGGAGGUCCCGGUUGGAUCUGGGAAAGCUUCUUCUUGGAAAGAAUGGCCAAGAGCAAGAACAAGAAUGGCACUGGAACAGGCUGGGCUGCUCGGGGAAGUGCUGGAGUCACUGUCCCUGGGGUGUUCAAGAAACGUGUAGAUGUGUCACUUGGGGACAGGGCUUGUUGGUCUUGGUGGUGGCGGGGUGGCAGUUGGACGGUUGGAGGCAGGGCGACAUAAGAUAGGCAGGUGGAAUCCUUGGGAAACGUAGAGAUCAAAUGGAAGAGAUUAGGCAAUUGGGAAGACAAAUGAGUGGGAUAUGGACCUCAGCUGCUGCCAUCUCAGAGGGACCCUGGGAACAAGAUGGAGGCCAGUGCAAAGCGUGUGCAGGCGUGGGGUGGGCAGGAGGAGGCAGAGCGCCCUACCCAGGCUCCACCUCACAGGCGUGUCAUGGUUCCAGAGGUGGGUGGGGUGCACCGUGGCGCCAUCACAAUGGAACUCAAUUCUGAGCUCACGGGGUGGUCCCACCUCUGCUAUUGCGGUCGUGACCAGCGUUUAGCGAUGAUGGUUGACGGCAGCUCUCUCUUUGUCCCCGCUACCCUUGUCCUUCUCUACGGCCUCAUGUUUCUGGUGGCCGGAAUCUCCCUGCUCACCGUGAUCCCAAACCUGCAGGUAGAGGAGAUAUGAGGCUGGGGGUGACUUGUGGCUGGGGGUGACUUGUGGCUGGGGGUGAGAGCCGGGGUCAGGUGUGUGGGACCCCUCAGGAGUGUAACUGUGCCCUGUCCAUGUGCCCGUAGGCCGGCAGAAAAUGCUUUUGGUGGAGGAGAUGGUGGCGGCAAGCAGCGGCACCAGAGCCAGGUGCUGAGAGACAGGCAGGCAGGCACAGCAGUCCCCGGAGCGAGCCAUGGUGCCCCUGCAGUAAGGCUGACCAGGAGCUCCAGCAGCUGGUCCUGUCGGGACUGCCUGGGUGCAGGCCUGUGCUGGGCCCCGACUUCUGGCAGGCGGCCUGGAGGGACCUGGAGGAACUGGUGGAGCAGAACAGCCUGUCGUGCCACUGUUGCAGCUCUCGUGAGGGCCAGGCUGAGGCACGGCGGCAUCCCGGGAAGAAGCAGCAGGACCACCAGGGCCACCCCAAGGAGUCAGCAAAGAUUCCUUUGCCUCUGGGUGCAGCACCUAAGGAGACACAACGUCCAGCAGCUGCUGCAGCACUUCCAGGCCCAGCCAGAGCAACACUGCAGAAGGACAGCGGCGCUCAAACGGACACCUCAGACCUGCUUCUGGCUGACGCUGAAGCUACCGGGAGGCAACGCCACUGUGCAGUGCCUGACAACAUCUCAAAGCCACAGCUCAGUCAGAUGUCUUGCAUGCAGGUCUCCGUGCACACAGCCAAAAAGUGCCUGGACGUCAAUCUCCACGUCUUCCCUGAGGCAGUUCGGAGGCCCACAGAACUGCUGCAGCAUCCACAGCCAACACAUGGUGCCCCGGUCUCCACACUCAAAAGGAAGUGCCCCCUCCAUCCUGACCAGGUCCCGCGGCAGCAGCAUGGGGCCAGGGCACCAGGAUGCCACCGCGCUCCCACGUACUUCUGCAGCCGUGAGGCUUGGUUCCUGCCCGAGGAGGAGCGCGAGGCCCUGGAGCUGCACACCUGCUCCAUGAAGCAGAAGCACCCUGGGAACCAGCCAGCAGCGUCCUGGGAGAAGGAGUCCACCAGCACAUAUAAGACUGCACCAUCUGAGGCAGACUGGGCUGAGGCAGGUGCCAAAGGACACAAGCGGUGGCCCUGGUGCAAGAAUUGCCCUGGGAGAGGCGAGAGCACCUGGAGCACCAAAGCAGAACGCAGCAGCUCUCCACCUGGCAGCGUAACGUUCUGAGCAGCACAGGUUGAACACCACCACCUGCCACAGCUGACCAUUACAGCUGUGCCGUGACCAUGUUUGUGGCUCCAAGAAAUCGUGCCACUCGCACCACGCCCGGGAUGCUGCGGCCGUCCCAAGUGCGGCCACGACCCCCAGACACUACAUCGUCUGGGGGAAGAUGUGCCUGUUGCCCUAAACGCCAAGGAUCUCUGUCUCUAAGCCCAUCUAUCUGGCUUGAGAGGAGACGAAGGGCCAGGCUCAGCAGUGCCCCUUCUCUCAAAAGAAACCUUUAUUUUUUAAAAUAAAUAAGCUUAUUUACUUGUGCCAAAGGGCUUUCUCUGUGGGGGCCUCCUUGGGAAUCGAGGGGGGCGAGGGGAGGUGGGCUCAGGAGUGCCAGGGAAGGUGUGCUGUCCCAUAGGAGGACAGAGACACCCGGGAUGCUGCGGACGUACCAACUGCGGCCAUGACCCCCAGACACCUCAUCCCAGCUCUGCUUGGAUGGCACGCAUCACCCCUCCAGCCUCAUGUCUCCCACAAGCCACACCAGAGUGCUUGGGAGCUAUAGGUUCCCCAGACCCAUGAGCUCGCGCUCAGGAAGACUCUGGGGCUUGGAGAAACUCCAGGCUGAAGGCAGACUAAGCAGGAGGCAGAGAACACCCCUCUGAAGGUGAGAGGGCAGCCUGGGAGCUCUGUCUCACAGCAGCCAUUCUGCUAAGCAGUGGCAGGAUGCAGGACAGCGUCACCCGCUCCUCCCAGUCUCCAGCCAUUCCCAUCCUCUUUGCUGUCUACAGCCGGGCAUGCAGAGAGCUGUGAAAAGGUUUUACCAUAGCUGUCUGGAUUUCUUGAGUGGAUGGGAAUGCCGCCAGGGGACACCUCAGGCCGGCAGAAAAUGCUUUUGGUGGAGGAGAUGGUGGCGGCAAGCAGCGGCACCAGAGCCAGGUGCUGAGAGACAGGCAGGCAGGCACAGCAGUCCCCGGAGCGAGCCAUGGUGCCCCUGCAGUAAGGCUGACCAGGAGCUCCAGCAGCUGGUCCUGUCGGGACUGCCUGGGUGCAGGCCUGUGCUGGGCCCCGACUUCUGGCAGGCGGCCUGGAGGGACCUGGAGGAACUGGUGGAGCAG